UGAUCAGAUACGACAUAAGCCACGCCCACGAAUUUGAAGACCCGGGGCGUGACCUAUUUUGCUAUUUCGCCCCGUCUUCCCACUCAUUCGCCAAGUCGUAAGGCUCAGCUGAUCUGCCAAUCUCAACAUCGAUCGUAUCCCCUCGAAUUCGUCCCUGCAGAUCUGAAAUUUGUGCCGGGUUCCCGUCUCGGAUUGUUUUCUCGUUAUUGGCGAUCGAUGGAAUUGAUCUAGGACUGCCGUCCAAUUCUGAGGUUGUUUGAAUUCCUCUUUCUCGCCUAUUUUGGGUUGGGGUUUCGAUUCCGAUGUAUAGCAAUUUCAAGGAGCAGGCGAUCGAGUACGUGAAACAGGCGGUGCAGGAGGAUAAUGCCGGGAACUACGUCAAGGCCUUCCCCCUCUACAUGAACGCCCUCGAGUACUUCCGCACCCACCUUAAGUACGAGAAGAACCCCAAGAUCAAGGAGGCCAUCACCCACAAGUUCACGGAGUACCUGCGCCGCGCGGAGGAGAUCCGCGCAGUGCUUGAUGACGGCGGCGGCUCAGGUCCCGCCGCCAACGGGGACGCCGCCGUGGCCACGAGGCCCAAGGUCAAGCCCAAGGAUGGCGAAGGUGGGGGCGAGGAUCCUGAUCGAGCGAAGCUAAGGGCGGGGCUUACCUCUGCAAUAAUCACGGAGAAGCCCAACGUGAAGUGGAACGAUGUGGCGGGGCUCGAGAGUGCUAAGCAGGCCUUGCAGGAAGCCGUGAUCUUACCCGUCAAGUUCCCUCAAUUUUUCACGGGAAAGCGAAGGCCAUGGAGGGCAUUUCUUUUAUACGGUCCACCUGGAACUGGAAAGUCAUAUUUGGCUAAGGCUGUUGCUACGGAGGCUGAGUCAACCUUCUUUAGUAUAUCUUCAUCUGACCUAGUAUCAAAGUGGAUGGGUGAAAGUGAAAAGUUGGUUUCCAACCUUUUCCAAAUGGCUCGUGAAAAUACACCAUCCAUAAUCUUCAUUGAUGAAAUCGAUUCGUUAUGUGGACAACGUGGAGAAGGCAAUGAAAGUGAAGCUUCUAGGAGAAUCAAGACGGAACUUCUUGUGCAAAUGCAGGGUGUGGGAAACAAUGAUCAGAAAGUUCUUGUUCUUGCUGCAACUAAUACACCCUAUGCUCUGGAUCAGGCAGUCCGUCGACGUUUCGAUAAGAGAAUUUAUAUUCCUCUUCCUGAUCUUAAAGCCAGACAACACAUGUUUAAGGUACACCUGGGAGACACCCCUCAUAACUUGAGUGAAAGUGAUUUUGAGUAUUUAGCUUAUCGCACAGAAGGCUUUUCUGGUUCAGAUAUUGCUGUUUGUGUCAAGGAUGUACUUUUUGAACCAGUUCGGAAAGCUCAAGAUGCCACGCAUUUCUACAUGACCAGUGAGGGUAUGUGGUUGCCAUGUGGACCAAGACAUCCAGCUGCUGUUGAGACCACACUGCAAGAUCUUGCUGCAAAAGGUCUCGCUGAUAAGAUCCUUCCGCCAUCAAUCACAAGGACAGACUUUGAUAAAGUACUUGCAAGACAAAGACCAACUGUCAGCAAAGCAGAUCUAGAAGUCCACGAGAGUGUUUGGAGAAGAGGGUUGAUCAGUUUUGAUGCUUGUGUUCUUCAGCUAUGUGAGUGCACAUUGUAAUUUCCUAUUCCACCAAUCAACACAGACAAUUUGCUUACAAGAGCGUUCUUGAAAAUUGAAUGAAACACGCGUUAAAUCACAUUCAUCUCAAUGGGAGAACGGCUUUCUAAAUGAACUCCUGGAAUGUUUAUUGAUAUUUUGAAAUUGAAAAUUGGGAUUUGAUGCCUAGAUAUACGAAGGGGAGCAGUCUAUUUUGAGCAACAAUCGGAGGCCUAGGUUCAUGGAUCACAAAGUUCAUCCUUUACAGAAGAUAAGGAUGGAGGAUCAUCAAAUGUUGCCCAAGACAACUUGUGAAAGUCAACACUAUAUGUGGCGCUUGUUCAAGUCUUAAAUUUGUGAGAUUUGAACUCUAUUAAUUGUAAAUGGCAGAUUGAUGUCUAAACUUAUUUUUGAUGAUUGUGAUAGGUGUAAGUGGAAAACUAACUAUAAUGUUUUUUUUGUGGCAUGCUAUGUACAGAUGUGCAGAUCUUGUUCUUAACAAAUCUGUUGGCGCCUAGUCUAAAACUUGGUUGCAAUUUAGAAUGUGCAUUUUGUUAGGUUCUCAAACUUUUUAAUGGCAAUUUGAUGUAACUUUUUGGGUGAGUGUGAUA
Molecule: RNA transcript, 2230 nt
Organism: Zingiber officinale
Lineage: Eukaryota; Viridiplantae; Streptophyta; Magnoliopsida; Zingiberales; Zingiberaceae
Gene name: protein SUPPRESSOR OF K(+) TRANSPORT GROWTH DEFECT 1-like
Exons: 9
Source: RefSeq, a predicted model, not a curated record